GAAAUGCGAUAAGUAAUGUGAAUUGCAGAAUUUAGUGAAUCAUCGAAUCUUUGAACGCACAUUGCGCCCCUUGGUAUUCCGAGGGGCAUGCCUGUUCGAGCGUCAUUACAACCCUCAAGCAAUGCUUGGUAUUGGGCUCCGCUGCUCAUCUAGCGGGCCUUAAAAUCAGUGGCGGUGCCAUUCGGCCUCAAGCGUAGUAAUGCUCCUCGCUUUGGAGGUUUGGAUUUGUUGCUUGCCAGCAAUUCACCAAAUAAUUCUUUUGCAGUUGACCUCGGAUCAGGUAGGGAUACCCGCUGAACUUAA
RNAcentral lists this unclassified non-coding RNA (303 nucleotides) under uncultured Helotiales. Its description in RNAcentral is "sequence contains ITS1". The stretch from base 1 to 105 matches the Rfam family "5.8S ribosomal RNA", at positions 50 to 154 of the family's 154-position model. Lineage: Eukaryota; Fungi; Ascomycota; Leotiomycetes; Helotiales. The record is from RNAcentral.